Molecule: RNase P RNA, 405 nt
Filed under: Arthrobacter deserti
Lineage: Bacteria; Bacillati; Actinomycetota; Actinomycetes; Micrococcales; Micrococcaceae
Description: RNase P RNA component class A
Rfam family: Bacterial RNase P class A
About the family: Ribonuclease P (RNase P) is a ubiquitous endoribonuclease, found in archaea, bacteria and eukarya as well as chloroplasts and mitochondria. Its best characterised activity is the generation of mature 5'-ends of tRNAs by cleaving the 5'-leader elements of precursor-tRNAs. Cellular RNase Ps are ribonucleoproteins.
Source: RNAcentral
UGGGUUGGCCGGGCGAUCGCGUCGGUGCGGCUUGCGGACAGUGUUCCGGAGGCCGCCCGCCGAGGAAAGUCCGGGCUCCACAGAGCAGAGUGGUGGGUAACGCCCACUCGGGGUAACCCGCAGGCCAGUGCCACAGAAAACAGACCGCCAGGAUUGCCCCCGGGCAGGACCUGGUAAGGGUGAAACGGCGGUGUAAGAGACCACCAGCGCCCCGGGUGACCGGGUCGGCUAGGUAAACCCCACUCGGAGCAAGGCCAGACAGGGCACGAUCGAGGGCUGCUCGCCCGAGUGCCCGGGUAGGCCGCUUGAGGACACCGGCAACGGUGUUCCUAGAUGGAUGAUCGCCACCCGGCGGCGGGCAACCGCCGCAGGUGACAGAACCCGGCUCACAGGCCAGCCCAUCCC